AAUUGCAACCAUUGCCUAGUGGUCUCAAUGCAUUGCAUCCCAUUAGAACUUCACAACUAAGUGUGCUUGGGCUAGAGUAGGACUGGGAUGGAUGACCUCUCGGGAAGUCCUAGUGUUUUACAUG
This is a non-coding RNA of Picea glauca (white spruce), 124 nucleotides long. NCBI's taxonomy places the organism in Eukaryota, Viridiplantae, Streptophyta, Pinopsida, Pinales, Pinaceae. The record is from Rfam.